GUUCAGUAUUUCAGCUGUUAGAUUUGAGCUCCACUCCCAGCCCCACAGCAGUGAUUGCAGCCCCAUCCCUACCAUCUUGAUUCCAGCUCCAGAGAUUUCAGCCCCACAGCUUUUAUUCCAGCUCCAUUCCCAGCCCCACAGCUUUUAUUUCAGUUCUGGCCCUACAGUAUUUAUUUCAGCUCCAGGUUCGGUGUUUCAGCUCCAGCCGCAGUCGUUCUUCAGCCCCAGCUCUGUCCUGGCUCAGCUCCAGCCCCACAGCAGUGAUUUCAGCUCCAGCCCUGCCAUCUUUAGUCCAGCUCUGGGUGAUUUCAGCUCAGGCCCUGUGGUUUUUAUUUCAGCUCUGAGUGAUUUCAGCCCCAGCCCUACAGUUUUGAUUUCAACUCCAGCUCCAGCUCCAGCUGCAGUCGUUCUUCAGCUCCAGCUCUGUCACAUCUCAGCCGCAGCCCCACAGCAGUGAUUUCAGCUCCAACCCUGCCAUCCUGAUUUCAUCUCCCACCCUACAGUAGCUAUUGAACCCCAGGAUUUCCACUCCAGGCCUGUGCUGUUUCCCCUCCCACCCCCCCCCCACUCUUUAUUUCACCCCCCAGCCUCACAGACUUUCUUACGGCUCCAGCUCUGCGUUGUUUCAGCUUCAGCCCUGCAGUGUUUAGCUCAGCCUCAGCUCUACAUCUUCCUGUUGCCUCCGUGUUCUCACAGCAGCUCUGGGGGCUGUUGAUAAGGUAGUAAGUCAAUCACUGUCAUCACUCAACUAUCAAAACUGUCCCACUGUGUCUGUCCCCUGAAUAAAGUGUUCCUGUUGUGUGUGUCCCCAUUUCA
This is a long non-coding RNA of Grus americana (Whooping crane), 816 nucleotides long. RefSeq lists it as uncharacterized. NCBI's taxonomy places the organism in Eukaryota, Metazoa, Chordata, Aves, Gruiformes, Gruidae. The transcript has 2 exons. The record is from RefSeq and is a predicted model, not a curated record.